UAGCAGGAGGAACAAACAC
This 19-nucleotide unclassified non-coding RNA is filed under the name Mus musculus (house mouse). Its description in RNAcentral is "oocyte_clustered_small_RNA2226". The record is from RNAcentral. Lineage: Eukaryota; Metazoa; Chordata; Mammalia; Rodentia; Muridae.